AAGUUUACCUAUUAUUUAAAAACAAAAAAAAAAAACAAAAGUUUUACAUAUUAAAAAACAAUAACCGGAGCGAAUAAAAUUACACUAAUAUGCAACAAUUAAAAGAAUAUUACAAGAGUAGCCUUCGUUAUUGUUGGAAUGCUCCAUAGUCCAUUCCAUUACCAAGAAAAUGCUAAAAGCUCAACUUGAUGUAAACAAGAGUACAAGACAUGUCCAAGUCAAAGUUUUCUCCUAACUUGUAAGUGAUACGAAGAUGGGUGUAAACAAAACAAAGACAAAGUCUUUGUCGAAACUCCAACUCUAGUAGGAGGAAAGAGAUGAUGAUGACAAAAAGGCUCGACGAAAAUGGAAUUUGAUGAGUAAAAACUGGUUAAGCUGGAGUGAAGGAAUGAGUUGUGUUGACUGAAUUAGAUUGAAUGGGGUUCUAGGGUUUGAACUUUGAAUGUUGAAUGCUUCAAUCUCGAUGAUUAGUAGUAAUUCACAAAGUUGUGAUGAAAUAAUAGAAACGAGUUACAGAAAGAACGUGCAAAAAAUGACGAUAAUGAUAUGAUUUUCAGCUCGUUUACUGACUCCCACGCUUGGUUUUUCUAUUUUCGGG
RNAcentral lists this long non-coding RNA (598 nucleotides) under Citrus sinensis (sweet orange). RNAcentral's name for it is "long non-coding RNA (CSIN_LNC002666)". The record is from RNAcentral. Lineage: Eukaryota; Viridiplantae; Streptophyta; Magnoliopsida; Sapindales; Rutaceae.